ACAAUUUGUGGUUUUAAGUGAAGUUAUGUGCUGCUGCCUAGCAACCUCAUGGUAAUGAAAAGACUCUGGGAAGUCACUGCAUCAAUCCUUUGUCAAGAAAUAGUCAUAGCGCUAUAAGAAAUGGACACAGCAAUACAAAGCAAUAGACUCCGAAGGAGACCAGGGAAGGAUAUUAGAAGUACUUUACCGUCAGCGCUACAGGAGAAGGUUAUGGUUCAGGAAGUGCUUGUGCUGGAACAUCAGAACCCCUGCAAGCACCAAUCAGACACAAACUCAUCCACUGUUUGAUAAGCACGUGAAACUCUGGGUCCGAGGGUGUGUGUCGGUGCGUCGGACAGAAGCUUCAGUUGCGAGUCCGUGGGACAACAGGGUGAUACAGCCUUGGCACCACAUGGGAGCAGGAGGUA
Etheostoma spectabile (orangethroat darter) is the source of this 407-nucleotide long non-coding RNA. RefSeq lists it as uncharacterized. The transcript is spliced from 3 exons. The record is from RefSeq and is a predicted model, not a curated record. Lineage: Eukaryota; Metazoa; Chordata; Actinopteri; Perciformes; Percidae.